UCUGGGUUUAUCCCAGCGGUCUCGUUAGAAAGAUUUAACUAACGACGGGGGUUGCGCUCGUUGCGGGACUUAACCCAACACCUCACGGCACGAGCUGACGACAGCCAUGCAGCACCUGUACUAGCUUCCCGAAGGAUCGUUCGUAUUUCUACUCCCUACUACUAGCAUGUCAAGCCUUGGUAAGGUUCUUCGCGUUGCAUCGAAUUAAACCACACGCUCCGCCGCUUGUGCGGGCCCCCGUCAAUUCCCUUGAGUUUCAACCUUGCGGCCGUACUCCCCAGGCGGACGACUAAUGCGUUAGCUGCGGCACGGAAGGGACUAACCCCCCCCACACCUAGUCGUCAUCGUUUACAGCGUGGACUAC
RNAcentral lists this unclassified non-coding RNA (364 nucleotides) under uncultured bacterium. RNAcentral describes it as "contains 16S-23S intergenic spacer region". The record is from RNAcentral.